AGCAGCCGCGGUAAUUCCAGCUCCAAUAGCGUAUAUUAAAGUUGUUGCAGUUAAAAAGCUCGUAGUUGAAUUUCGGGGUCAAUACGUCGGUCGUGCCUCGGUACGCACUAACGUUAUUGAUUCCUCCCUUCUGACGAACCGUGAUGUCAUUAAUUUGGUGUUGCGGGGAAUCAGGACUGUUACCUUGAAAAAAUUAGAGUGUUUAAAGCAGGCAAUCGCUCGAAUACAUUAGCAUGGAAUAAUGAAAUAGGACGUUCGAACCUAUUUUGUUGGUUUCUAGGAUCGACGUAAUGAUUAAUAGGGAUAGUUGGGGGCAUUAGUAUUCAAUUGUCAGAGGUGAAAUUCUUGGAUUUAUUGAAGACUAACUACUGCGAAAGCAUUUGCCAAGGAUGUUUUCAUUAAUCAAGAACGAAAGUUAGGGGAUCGAAGACGAUCAGAUACCGUCGUAGUCUUAACCAUAAACUAUGCCGACUAGGGAUCGGAUGAUGUUAAUUUUUUAAUGACUCAUUCGGCGCCUUACG
This 521-nucleotide ribosomal RNA is filed under the name uncultured Glomeraceae. RNAcentral describes it as "SSU rRNA". It matches the Rfam family "Eukaryotic small subunit ribosomal RNA", at positions 569 to 1092 of the family's 1831-position model. Lineage: Eukaryota; Fungi; Glomeromycota; Glomeromycetes; Glomerales; Glomeraceae. The record is from RNAcentral.